Molecule: long non-coding RNA, 473 nt
Organism: Papaver somniferum (opium poppy)
Lineage: Eukaryota; Viridiplantae; Streptophyta; Magnoliopsida; Ranunculales; Papaveraceae
Exons: 2
Source: RefSeq, a predicted model, not a curated record
AGAGUGCGAAGAUGUUUGCUAAGAAGACUCCGGCUCAAUCAGCUAAGAGCACAGCUCACAAAGUUGUGGAACAGGUUGCCAAUGCAGCUCACACUGUAUCCAAUGCUUCCCACCCGAAAAACAAAGGUCACCAGACUCACCACCAUCAACAGACUGGAACAACAACCGCUAUGCACACGGCAAAAGAUGCAGUGAAGACUGUGAAGAAAGUAGUGGGAAUGAAGUGAUUGUUAAUAAACAAUCGAUCCAUUUCCACCUACCAAUAAGAAAAUAAAAAUACAAUACAUAUGUUGUACUUUUGUGUGGGUAUAUCUUUCUUUCAUCACUCCAUGAAUUUGUGUUGAUUUUGCGAAUUAUUUUCAUUUUAAUUAUGUCUUUUUAGGUGUUUUCUUGUUAUAUAUCUUUCCCAUGGUAUCUUAUGUGAUUGUAAUAAACGAUUAGCUAUGCAUAAUGAAAUAUGUUUAAUUAGAUCA